This is a non-coding RNA of Acanthosepion pharaonis, 99 nucleotides long. The record is from the annotation of a GenBank genome assembly. Lineage: Eukaryota; Metazoa; Mollusca; Cephalopoda; Sepiida; Sepiidae.
ACUGAAAUAUCGGUUCCCGUACGAUCACCGAAGUUAAGCAACAUCGAAUCUGCUCAGUACCUAAAAGGGUGGCCACUUGGGAAUACCAGCUGCUGUAAG